Molecule: ribosomal RNA, 495 nt
Filed under: uncultured bacterium
Lineage: Bacteria
Description: partial 16S ribosomal RNA
Rfam family: Bacterial small subunit ribosomal RNA
Source: RNAcentral
AUGAACGCUGGCGGCGUGCCUAAUACAUGCAAGUCGAGCGCACAGACGAGGAGCUUGCUCCUCUGACGUUAGCGGCGGACGGGUGAGUAACACGUGGAUAACCUACCUAUAAGACUGGGAUAACUUCGGGAAACCGGAGCUAAUACCGGAUAAUAUAUUGAACCGCAUGGUUCAAUAGUGAAAGACGGUUUUGCUGUCACUUAUAGAUGGAUCCGCGCCGCAUUAGCUAGUUGGUAAGGUAACGGCUUACCAAGGCAACGAUGCGUAGCCGACCUGAGAGGGGGAUCGCCCCACGUGAACCGGGGACCCGGCCCAACCUCCUAGGGGGGGCAGAGGUAGGGAAUUUUCCGAAAGGGGGGAAAGCCUGACGGGGCAACCCCGCGUGAGUGAGGAAGGUCUUCGGAUCGUAAAACCCUUUUAUUGGGGAAGAACAAAUGUGUAAGUAACAUGGCCCGUCUUGACGGUACCAAAGCAAAAAGCCACGGCUAACUACGG